CCUACGGGGGGCAGCAGUGGGGAAUAUUGGACAAUGGGGGGAACCCUGAUCCAGCCAUGCCGCGUGUGUGAAGAAGGCCCUCGGGUUGUAAAGCACUUUCAGUGAGGAAGAACGCCUGGUGGUUAAUACCCAUCAGGAAAGACAUCACUCACAGAAGAAGCACCGGCUAACUCCGUGCCAGCAGCCGCGGUAAUACGGAGGGUGCCAGCGUUAAUCGGAAUUACUGGGCGUAAAGCGCGCGUAGGUGGCUUGAUAAGCCGGUUGUGAAAGCCCCGGGCUCAACCUGGGAACGGCAUCCGGAACUGUCAAGCUAGAGUGCAGGAGAGGAAGGUAGAAUUCCCGGUGUAGCGGUGAAAUGCGUAGAGAUCGGGAGGAAUACCAGUGGCGUAGGCGGCCUUCUGGACUGACACUGACACUGAGGUGCGAAAGCGUGGGUAGCAAACAGGAUUAGAUACCCCAGUAGUC
Molecule: ribosomal RNA, 465 nt
Filed under: Vreelandella stevensii
Lineage: Bacteria; Pseudomonadati; Pseudomonadota; Gammaproteobacteria; Oceanospirillales; Halomonadaceae
Description: partial 16S ribosomal RNA
Rfam family: Bacterial small subunit ribosomal RNA
Source: RNAcentral